UUAUUCAUACCUCUUUGUUAAUUAUAAAUGUAGUUCUCUCGUUUCCGUAAAUUAGAUACGUUGUGGCAGUCCAGUAUACGCAUUUGACUAGUGCAGACGAUGUAUGUACACAAAGCAAAAUACUCUUUUCUAUUUUCAUCUGGAAAAUAAUAACAUGCAACGUUCUUGGGUUAAACUAAAUUCUUUAUAUCCAUCAAACAGAUCGAAUCAGCAUCGAAGAACUAAAUGACGAAUAUAAGUUUACAAAUUGUAAAACAGGAAAAACAAAAUAAAAGGAUGCAUGUUAUACAACAUAAUAGUUUAAUAGUGAAAAAAUAUUUUCCUCGUGGCCAAUGAGAAAAAUAAUCCAUGUGUUGUACAGUAAAACGGUUUUUAGACUUUCAAGCUGAUCAACAAAAUUUAAAGCUCAAGCUUGCGAUCUGAAGUUUUGAGAAGUUUUUAGUUAUUAGCCAUACUUACCAGAGAAAACGAAUUUACAGACUAUACAAGAUUAGACUCGCUGUGGCAGUCCUGUAUACGGAUUCGACUAUAGCAGGCGAUAUAUUUACACAACGCAAAAUUCUCUUUCCUACGUUAACUGUGCCGUAUUGUUAACUUGUGUAAGCUGUGACGAUAGGAAGCCGGCUCUCCUACUGAUGUCUCAUUUUGUCGCUGGCUGAUGAUGGAUAGACUUCGUUCUGCGCGCCGAACACAAGUGAAAAAAC
This is a long non-coding RNA of Nasonia vitripennis (jewel wasp), 704 nucleotides long. RefSeq lists it as uncharacterized. NCBI's taxonomy places the organism in Eukaryota, Metazoa, Arthropoda, Insecta, Hymenoptera, Pteromalidae. The record is from RefSeq and is a predicted model, not a curated record. The transcript is spliced from 4 exons.